Molecule: long non-coding RNA, 1045 nt
Organism: Gallus gallus (chicken)
Lineage: Eukaryota; Metazoa; Chordata; Aves; Galliformes; Phasianidae
Source: Ensembl
AAUGAGUCCUUGCAAAAUCUGGAGGAGAGGGGUUGUGAUGGAAGAGAAAGGGAAGGAAAGGCUCUGCUGCUUUUCUUCUGCUGCUUUGAGCAUCGUUACCGUGUGUGUCCAGUCUGAGCAGAAGCAGCAGGAAAGGAAAAGAAGAGGGGCAGAGGAAGAGGAAAAACCCAACCUCGUUCAGCAUGUUCUGCAAAUGCAGCUUCUUCUUCCGCAUGAGCAAACAGACCACGAUGGACUCCUGGGUGAUGGGUAGAGAAGUUCAGAAAGCUGCCAGGGAGCACCUAAUCCACGAGUCGGGACUGCUGAUGUUUGCUUCAGCCUGGUAUCCCAUGGUAGAGGCAUAAGGAUUAAGCAGGCUUUGGAAGGGGAGCUUGUCUUCAUAUCGGGAUGGGCAUUUCUUUGGACACACGGUCUUUGGGGGUACCCAGCGAGGUGGUGAAGUCACUGUCCCUGGAGAUGUUCAAGAACAGAGAUGUGGCACUUGGGAACAUGUGCCUGGAAAGUACACAAGCAUUGCCAACAAGAAAUAAGUGAUGCAGGGGUCGCACAGAUGAGAAAGCGGGGAGUAAUAUGAUUAAUAGAGAACUGGCAAGGAAGAUGUGCUUUCUAACAGCUCACCAAGAAAAGGAGGAGAGUCCCAGCACGGGGAGCUUGCAUUUUCCAGUAGGCACAACUCCAGAAGACAUGCUGCUGAGGACAGCCCCAUCCUGCAGACCCACAGCAAUGGGCAGGACGGAGGCUGCAGCUCGUCUGCCACUUGCUGUCUGCAAUCUCUCCCAUUUUCACACAUACUCCAGACUUGCAAUACUGGCUCUGAAAGCAAUAAGAAGUUGCAAGAUUAAUUGCUUUGAAAGCACGAAAGGAACAGAAAAUGCCUGAAGGCACUGGGACAGAUAAUAUGUUGUAUUCAUAAAGGUUUUAAUAAUUUAUUACCAGCAGCUGUAUAAAGUUAUUCUGUCCCCAUCCACUACUCCUCUCCAAGGACGGCUGGAGGCAGCUUGAUUUCUGCUCAAGGAGUGCAAAUCAAAGGACUCCUUGAGUCCUU